This is an RNA transcript of Triticum dicoccoides, 3808 nucleotides long. RefSeq lists it as uncharacterized. The transcript has 13 exons. NCBI's taxonomy places the organism in Eukaryota, Viridiplantae, Streptophyta, Magnoliopsida, Poales, Poaceae. The record is from RefSeq and is a predicted model, not a curated record.
GCAAUAAAUCGGCCGCACCAAACUUCGGCCUUAUCUCAUUAUCGGCUUCUGUCCUGUGCAGCUGGCUGCUUGUUCCACACUUGUCUCCAGUAGCUUCUCAUGCCCCUGCUCGCCUCCGGCAAAGAAUCACCGUGGAUCUCGGCGGACUCCCUGAGCUGCGGCUGGUCAAGUACGCCCGGCUGCAAUCAUGUCUGACAUGGCCAGCUGCGAUGGGGAUGAACACCCUGAAGGAGUUCUACCACACCGAGCCGGACAAUCGGGUGGCGGGGUUGAAGGACAGGCGCCACCGACGCCAACUUCUAGAAUUUCAGUUAAGAGAGCUGUUGAAGUAAUUCAAUCAUUUGAUGAUUACAAGAGGUGGUUGGUAACUGAAAUAGGGUUUGGUGGUAUGCUGAAGCUCCCUGCCAUACUGAAAAUGAACCUUAAAUUCAGUGCAUGGGUAAUGAGUAAAGUCAGUGUUAAGCGCCAUGCUAUUAUACUGUCAGGCACGAAGAUUCUGAAGUUUUGGGCAGAUGAUGUGCACAAGGUUUUCGGAAUCCCAUGCGGUCACCGGAAUGUACGAGGCCGUGAUGGUUUUAUAAACCCUGAGGCCAUACAGUACAUAAAAAACACACUUGGGAUGGACAAGACAGGGGCGCACAGUCUCGAGGCAGCAGAGCAAUUCCUUCUCAGGGACAUAAGUGAAUCAUCUAGCAAGCUUGAGAAGGAUUGCUUUCAGAUUGCAUUCGUCAUUUUCGUAAUGGGUCAUGUUUUGGCGCCAACAACCAAACAUGACUAUGGCACGAUAGAAUAUUGUGGUGCACUUGCUGAUACGGAAAGUAUAUCACAGUUCAACUGGUGCGAGUAUGUUCUUGAGUGUCUGAUGGAGGCAGUCCGUCGGCUAAAGAAUGACAUGAUGGCAGGCAACAUGUCUACUAAUUUGGUUGGUUGCCACUUGUGGUAACAGGUUUUUUUCCUCGACAAUGUUGAUUUAGGGAUGUUCAACAAGAAGCAUGAUGUCCUCCCUCGGAUAAGUGACUUUGACAAAGCAACCAUGAAAAAUAUGAUAACUAUGUCAACUGACAUUGGCACCAGCGUCCUGUCAUUUUACAACUGUAAGUUCCGCCGUGACGAUGACGUGUGCUAUACUCGACGGAAGCAUCCAGAAUGCGAUCCUGAAAUCAACAUCCAAGGAGCAGGCGUUGGCAAUGACGACGUAUGUAUUGGUGAUGAUACGGCAGCAGUGGCAAUGGGAGUGAAUGAAUCAUCUUCGUCGGUUGCUCCCAAUCUGGAUGUGCGAACACCUCUUCGCGCCCUUGGGCCAAUUGAUUUUGCGCAGCAUCUACAAAGGCGGUACCCUAGCAUGGCAUCGCAUCUUAUAUCUAUUUUGUUGAGGGAGCAGAAUGCCCGGUGCCAGCGCAAAAUAAAUACAGCCCGUGCUAAUAUCCAGGCUGACAUGAUCAAGUUUGUCGAUAAACUCAUGGAUGCACUCAGCACAAGGAGUGGAGGUGCUGAGGACUCCUGCAGGUCCUAAAAUUUCUUGAGUGAGACUUGAUAUGUCGGCAUGCUCCGAUGGCAACCCCACGGUAAGGAGGAGGCGUGAUGAAUCAACAUCUCACCAGCAGGAAAAGAGGCAGCGGACUGCCGAAUCGACUAUGAUAAUUCUCAGAGAUCAAAUUGAAUGCUUUGUUAAACAUGUGCUGCAACAGAUUUCUGAGUUGUUCAUUGACCUCCCGGAUGAUGGGAGCACCACUGUAUUUGGGGAGAGGACGAAUGGACUCCCAGGACGCAAAUAUGUCUAUAGGCCUGGUUUCCAGACUGACCCCUGGACAAGGGGUGUUGUCCCUUACCCGCCAACGCCAGCGGUUACGGACCUUUUAGUUGAGUUCUUUGCCACGUCAUCAGCUCAUCACCUGUCAAGGAACUUUCUUGUUCAUGAGAAACCUCGGUUCAUACGCAUAUCAAGGGUCACAUUGAAAGAACAGCUGGUCGGGGAUGCGGCAAUCGAUCAUGAGCUCAUGUCCAUCAUCAUCUGUCGUUAUACUCAGGUGGACCAGGAAGCUGAUAAGGAAUUACCGUAUCUCUCAUGGAGGCACCCAAUUGAACCUGAGUUCUCGACUUUUGUCUUAUCGGAUUUCGAUUAUCUGCACACAAAGUCGAUUCAGAACCAGCUAUGUGCUAAUGAUCUGAAGUAUGAUAUUACAUCAUCACAGCUGUUCUUCACUCCCGUGCCCAGGCCUGAAGGUUGGAUGGUGGUUUUCUGGGACAUGAUCAAACGGUUCAUCACCGUCAUCGAUUCUUUAUACACCAGGCAAUGCCCACAGCCUCCGACACAGCAGCAAGAUGAGAUAAUUGCCUGGAAGCUUCACUAUGCUCUGUUCCACUGCCUUAAUGAAUACUAUGCUGGAUGGCCAACAAGCAAAGAUGGUUGGACUGUGAAGUUCAUGCCAGUCAGUGACAACAUAGUUACUCGAGAUGAAACUGGUGCUUGCAUCAUCCAUAUUGCUCGCCAAUUUGAUGGGGGAAAGCUCAAGUUGCCCAUCACGAAGCUGAUCCUCCACCCCUGAGACGGGACGUACCACCCAGCGAUAUUUGCAUGGAUGCAUCGACGAAGACCCUCCAGAAUUAAGGUUGCAUUGUCUUCGUGCUUGGCCUUCAUCACUUCUUUUGGUGAUGAUGUCUCGCAUGGGUCCAUCACCAGCAAGGUCUUCUCCUCCGUAUCCACCACAUAUAGCGACCAGCUAUUCAUCAUUGGUAUUGGUAACAUCAGUUGCAAGUUGUUAUGGAAUCUAGCAAUCAGCGCUCCAUGGGUGCUGAAAUCAUUUUCCCUCUGCUCUGGGAGAACAUAUGGAUCUGAAUCUGGUAGACCGCUAUCAACGAUAGCAUGCACUGGUGUCCUUGGGCUAUCUUCCAAAGCAUCGUUCUGAUUCAUAGCCAUGUCAAUUCCUUCUGUUCGAUGAGCAACAUCUUAAUCAGGUUAGUUUCCCCUAUAAGAAUGAUGUGCCUUGGGAAAUAAUAUGAAUGUACAAUGUAUUAUUGCACUUCUUGUUUUACCUGAUGCCACUAUGUGAGCAGUUAUAACUGGGUCGGCUUCAAGUUCAAUGUGAAUAGGGGAUCCAAUUUGUGCUGCUCCAAUGGGGACUAGGGGUAAUGCUGUUUCUAAACCAGGGAUAUGGCCUAAUGAUUUUGCACUCCCAACAUUACCUGUCAUGGUCAUCAAUGGAAUUUCAACCGGCGCCACUCCCCGCCCACGUUGCUCUGCAAAAAAAUAAUUGAUUUGUCCUGUCAAAAGUAUGAAACCUUACUUCAGCGGUCAAGUUAUACCAGAUGGUCUAUUACCUUGGUGAUGCAUGAUUCUCAACCGGUUCCUGCCUAUGCGUUCAUACCGACUUUGCAUGUCCUCAUCACUGUCUGAUGACUCAAAGCCAAUACAUGGCUCCAUCACCUGUUUACCAGGGUCAUCUGCUGCAAUUUCCACUAUGCGGCUGCGUUGACGAGCUUCGUAGCCUCCUUCCUCAAUUACCACAGGCGGCAGUCGUGCUACACGUGCCUGAUCUGCAAGGGAGGCAUCUGCGGCAACAACACUGUUUGUUAGAUCAGAAAGGAGUAAUUUGUAAUUUUCUGAAUUUAGUUCUGAAUUUGGUUUUUACCUAUUGCUGCAACCAACUGUCGAUCAUCUUCUGAAGCAGUGUCGUAGCUUUCAUCGUCUUCACCUGUUGCAUUCAGGUGAUCAGAUAUAAUUCAAAUUCUACUUUUCCUACCACAAAUGACAGAACAUGUCAUAACCAUGCAUACGUACUGAAUUGGAAACCUAUGUGUUGGGGAGGUA